Molecule: long non-coding RNA, 1906 nt
Filed under: Homo sapiens (human)
Lineage: Eukaryota; Metazoa; Chordata; Mammalia; Primates; Hominidae
Description: long independently transcribed non-coding RNA 1015, transcript variant 3 (LINC01015)
Source: RNAcentral
ACUGCCCAACUGCCACUGCCCAGCCUGAUGGCUCCACAUCUCAGGAGUAGGCUCUGAUUCCUUGGGGCCCCAGGAGCCUCUCAGGAGUCUACAUCCCAAGAUGUUCUAACUUCCAGAGUCUCCAAGCCCAUCAAGAGCAAGUUUUGCUAAAAGUGUUCUGAGAGCUUAUGAAGCACAUGGACAAGGAAGGGUUGUGCAUCCGGCUUUCCACCUUAAACUGGUUUCUAUGGUGCUUCAUCGAUGAGAUAAGGAUGCAUAGGAGACCCCAGGCCAGGAGUUCCUUCAGGACACACUGUCCUAGGCCUGGGCCCUGGAGGAGGACAUGGUGAUGAGGCACCCUGAGGCCUCCAUGGGGGAACUGAGAAGCAUGCACUGUGACCUGCACACCCAGCCAAACCUGAGCAAGCACCCCCACCACCCAGGCCUCUGCAGAUAUCCCCCAGCAUUGAGACCCUCCCCAAGGGGAUGGGCUGCUUCUCCCUGGCCCACAGCCCAGCUCCAGCAGCCCAUGGGUAUAGCCCUCCUGAAACAGGAGCCUCAUCCUCCCUCACCCUCACCUGGCUAUGCUGUACCCAAGGCCAAAGCCCAGAGGCAUAAGGGAGCUUCUGCAGAGCCCAGGACAGCAGGCUGCUCUCUGGGGGCCCUGGGGACUCAGAGUGUGGCCAGCCCAUCCCCAGCUCAGGAUAGACCACAGAGUGCUUGGUGAUUCCUGCAUUGGAACUCCCUCUCUAAGCUCCCCAUGGACCUGGACCUCAGAGGCCUGUGGUUUUCACAGUAGAGCUUGGAGCAGAGAUGCUAGGCCCCUAUCACUUCCAUAUGUGUCCUGGACACCUCUAAGAUCAUAGGACUGGCCUAGCCCCCAAUACCAGACACUGCCCAGCCCCCUGAUAGCCCAGAGGUAGGGCCAGAGACAACUCUCCUGCAUGUGAUGCCUACAGCUGAUCACUCUUGGCAGACAGUGAACAUCACGGCCCAGAAGGAGCCAGGGCAGCACUUGGCAAGCUGCCCCAAAGCCCCAGAGAGCUCCUUAGACAUGGAAAGUCAAUACUGAUGGGGAAGCUGGACACUUGGAGGCCACUGGAGGGAGGGGUGAGCAUGGUGUCCCCACAGCCCAGGCCACCCAGCAGCAUGCCCUGCAUCCAUGGUCCCAACCUGUAGGGCAGAACCCCCCUCUCAACGCACAAUUCCUAGACCCAGAGGGCCCUAGCCCAGACUCAACCUGAGCCCUGAAAGGGAAGGGGCACCAGGGGUGCCUUGGGGCCUCCAGCAGCAGCCAAGAUACACAGGAGAUGGAGCCCCCUGUGGCCCUGGCCAGAACUAGUAUUUGGCUUAAGGCGGAGCAAGCCCCCUUGGAGCACUGCGUACAUACCCGGGGCCUAUGUGUGCCUGGCAAGGCCAAGCUGAUGAUGUUACCAAGCUCAAACUACCACUGGCCACCUUGGUGAGGGUGGGGCAGAAACACGUGGACCAGCCACCAACCUCAUCCAUUCAAGGAAGCAGAAAUGGUCAGGCUCCUGCAGGAUAAGUGGCCACCACCAGACCACCAAUGGGGCAGAGUUCUGAGGCCCAAGCAGAUGGCACUGGGGCCCUGCUUCCAGGGUCCACAAUCUGCUCCAGGACACAAGACUGAAGAAAACUAAGCAAAUGAGAGUCCAGGAGGCUGGAUCCCUCAUCUGCCAUUCUUGGCAGUUGCAUUUUGUGGUCAGAAAAAGUCAGGAAACUUGGCUCUACUCACUGCAGGAGGCUCCAAGGUGGGACCAGAGCUUCCAGCAUAGAUUCAACAAUGCCUAAGAAUGCCUCUUCUUGGGGAAAAGGACCCCUUCCUUGGCCUCAAAGCCCCCACUUAUUUUGAUUAAAGCACAAUAAAGUCUUUGUUGUUAAAAAAAAAAAAAAAAAAAAAAAAAAA